This is an RNA transcript of Nelumbo nucifera (sacred lotus), 3435 nucleotides long. It is a transcript of the gene named SNF2 domain-containing protein / helicase domain-containing protein, with no coding region annotated. Lineage: Eukaryota; Viridiplantae; Streptophyta; Magnoliopsida; Proteales; Nelumbonaceae. The record is from RefSeq and is a predicted model, not a curated record.
UUUUCAUACGGCUUGGUCUGAGAAUUUAUCACAUCCCUUACUGGUUUGAUCUGAGUCGAAUCGGACCGUGAACACCCUAGCCGGUGGCAGUUUAUGUAAGCUGUAGAUCAGCCUUUUUUUCUUGUCAUUCAAUGGUUGUCGGUUUACUCGCUUCUACAGCACGUUUCAAACGGAAGAAGUCUCUAUUUCCCUCUUCACAACCCCUUCAAUCUCACAUUCGCUCUCCAGUCUCCACUUCCAGUACAGUAGUAUACACUUUGCGAAUGCACAGAGGUCGUAUAAACUGAUUUCGGUGUGUAUACAAAAGUACAGCAAUACAGUGAGAUGAGCUACUUGCAGAGGCUCAAAGCAGCGGCCCAGUUCAUCCUCUCGAGAGACCUAGACGUCGAGAAGUCGUCGCCAUUAGAUGGUGCUGAGUUUGGGGUUACGGCAUCACUGAAACCUCAUCAGGUGGAAGGAGUCUUGUGGCUUAUACGUAGAUAUAUUCUUGGCGUCAAUGUCAUUCUCGGUGACGAGAUGGGUCUUGGGAAGACUUUGCAAGCUCUUACUUUCUUGAGCUACUUGAAGGUUCGCCAGAUGUCACCUGGACCAUUUUUGGUUUUGUGUCCUCUAAGUGUGACUGAUGGUUGGGUGUCAGAGAUAGCCAACUUUUGUCCAAAAUUAAGGGUUCUUAGAUAUGUUGGUGACAAAGAAUUUCGGUGCAGUCAACGCAAGACAGUUUAUGAACAUGUAAAACAACAAUCCUCAUUGUUAGAUGCACAAUCAGCUUUUCCUUUUGAUGUGUUUUUGACAACAUAUGACAUUGCAUUGAUGGAUCAAGAUUUUCUUUCUCAAGUUCCUUGGCACUAUGCAAUCAUUGACGAAGCUCAGAGACUUAAAAAUCCUUCAAGUGUUCUGUACGAUGUACUUGAACAGCGUUUUGUUAUGCCAAGACGAUUAUUGUUGACGGGAACUCCUAUCCAAAACAACCUCUCUGAGCUCUGGGCUCUAAUGCAUUUUUGUAUGCCAUCGGUCUUUGGGACAUCAGAACAAUUCCUCUCCACAUUUAAGGAAGCUGGGGAUCCUUCAGCAGGUCAUGAUGCAGUCAAGGUUAAGGAAAAAUUCAAAACUCUAAAAUAUAUAUUGGGGGCAUUUAUGCUUCGGCGAACCAAAUCCAUGCUUAUUGAGUGUGGAACUCUUGAGCUACCUCCUCUUACAGAGAUUACUGUGAUGGCACCUUUAGUAACCUUGCAAAAGAAGGUCUACAUGUCAAUAUUGCGGAGGGAGCUUUCUAAACUUCUUGCUUUCUCUUCUGGGGCAUCUAAUCAUCAAUCCUUACAAAAUAUUGUAAUUCAAUUGCGGAAGGCAUGUAGCCAUCCUUACCUCUUUCCUGGUAUUGAACCAGAACCAUACAAGGAGGGUGAACAUCUUGUACAGGCUAGUGGUAAACUUAUAAUUUUGGACAAACUGCUUCAGAAGCUGCAUGCUUCUGGACACCGAGUUCUGCUAUUUGCUCAGAUGACUCAUACACUUGAUAUUCUUCAGGAUUUUCUGGAGUUACGAGGGUAUACAUAUGAACGUCUUGAUGGAUCUAUUAGGGCUGAGGAGCGCUUUGCAGCAAUAAGAAGUUUUAGUCAUCAAUCAGUUAAAGACACAUUUAAUGCUCAAGCUGAUCAACAUGGUGCAUUUGUUUUUAUGAUCUCAACAAGAGCAGGGGGAGUUGGUCUAAACCUUGUCGCUGCUGAUACUGUUAUAUUUUAUGAGCAAGACUGGAAUCCCCUAGUGGACAAGCAGGCUCUGCAGCGUGCUCACCGAAUUGGUCAGAUGAACCAUGUCCUAUCUAUAAAUCUAGUAACAGAGCGCACAGUGGAGGAGGUAAUUAUGAGGAGAGCAGAGAGAAAGUUGCAGCUCGUCCAUAAUGUGGUAGGAGAUUAUGACAUGGACAAGGAAGGAAAAACAGUGGGAGUUGAAGCUGGUGAUUUGCAGUCUGUCAUAUUUGGAUUACAUAUGUUUGACCCUACAGAUAUCAAUGUUGAUAAUUUAAAGGAGGUCAAUACAUCGGAUUUGAGUACAAUGGUUGAACAGGUGACUGAAAUGCGCUAUGAACCAUUGGACAGUGAUGGUAGGAAAUUUGUAAUCAAUCCAAUGGAUCUUCUGAAUGGGGCUGAUUUUUCAAUUAGAACCACUUCAUCUAUUGAUUUUGAUCCUGGGCUUGAUGAGGCCUCGUAUCUUUCAUGGGUUGAAAAGUUUAAGGAAGCAUCAAAGUUGAUUGAUUCUCCAACUAUAGAGUUGCGAGCACAGAGAAACUUACCUGAAGAAAAACAUAUGAAGCUUGAAGCUGCAAGGAAGAAAGCUGAGGAAAAGAAGUUAGCCAAGUGGGAGGCACUUGGUUACCAAUCACUAGCUGUCAAAGGUCCUGCUUGUCCUAUGGUUGGUGACAUUAUGCCAGAUUCAGGUUCUGUCCAAUUUGUUUAUGGAGAUUGUACAGAUCCAUCAAAAGUGUGUCCGUCUGAGCCUGCAAUAAUAUUUAGUUGUAUAGAUAACUCUGGUAAUUGGGGCCAUGGAGGAAUGUUUGAUGCACUAGAAAAACUUUCAGCAAGUAUUCCUGAUGCUUAUCGGCGUGCUUUCGAAUUUGGGGACCUUCAUUUGGGUGAUCUCCAUCUUAUAAAACUCAAUGAAGAUCAUGAAGAGACAGCAGAUCAAAAGCGUUCUUGGUGGGUGGCUUUAGCUGUUGUACAGUCGUACAAUUCUAGACAUAAAGUGCGAUGCAGCAAUAUUUCUUUACCUGACUUAGAACAAUGUUUAUCCAAGGCAUCUUACUCAGCUGCUCAGAAUUCUGCAUCAAUCCAUAUGCCACGAAUUGGUUAUCAAGAUGGAUCUCAACAUUCGGAGUGGUACACAGUGGAACGUCUUUUACGAAAAUAUGCAUCUGUAUACAGCAUAAGAAUUUUUGUGUAUUACUUCCGACGUUCUUCAUGAUAAUGUGAAAAUGGUCUAUUGUCCAGCAGAGUCUUGCAUCUAUUGCAAUGGAAAAGGAGCGGGUGAAAACACUGAUUGAUGUGAUCAAUACCAUCAUACCACGCAUAUGGAAUGAUAUUGUCAGCUGGACCCGUUUGUGAGAGAUUUGAAAAACCUUAAAUGCCAAAAUACACAUACAUGAGCCAAGAAAUCAACUUUCCUGUGAAACUAUUUCUGGUAACUUUCUUGAAGGGUUUUAGUGCAAUUCAAUCAACGCUGAAGCCCUUCCAAACAAGUCUUAAAUAUAUAGUCAUUGCACCGGUAUUUACCAAUGUGUACUGAGACACUUGUCACAUAUUUGGUGGAAGUGCAGAAAAUAUGCAGAAAAGAAUUAACACAGGUCCACAUAUUCGAAUUGGAAUUUUGUGGCUGGGCAAUAGUGGUGAAUGAUCCAAAUAUUGGUCAGGUGGUGAAUAAGGGGAUUAACAUUUAGAAAAC